GAUGAACGCUGGCGGCGUGCCUAAUACAUGCAAGUCGAGCGAACAGACGAGGAGCUUGCUCCUCUGACGUUAGCGGCGGACGGGUGAGUAACACGUGGAUAACCUGCCUAUAAGACUGGGAUAACUUCGGGAAACCGGAGCUAAUACCGGAUAAUAUAUUGAACCGCAUGGUUCAAUAGUGAAAGACGGUUUUGCUGUCACUUAUAGAUGGAUCCGCGCCGCAUUAGCUAGUUGGUAAGGUAACGGCUUACCAAGGCGACGAUGCGUAGCCGACCUGAGAGGGUGAUCGGCCACACUGGAACUGAGACACGGUCCAGACUCCUACGGGAGGCAGCAGUAGGGAAUCUUCCGCAAUGGGCGAAAGCCUGACGGAGCAGCGCCGCGUGAGUGAUGAAGGUCUUCGGAUCGUAAAACUCUGUUAUUAGGGAAGAACAAAUGUGUAAGUAACUAUGCACGUCUUGACGGUACCUAAUCAGAAAGCCACGGCUAACUACGUG
This 497-nucleotide ribosomal RNA is filed under the name uncultured bacterium. RNAcentral describes it as "partial 16S ribosomal RNA". It matches the Rfam family "Bacterial small subunit ribosomal RNA", at positions 28 to 507 of the family's 1533-position model. The record is from RNAcentral.